RNAcentral lists this ribosomal RNA (209 nucleotides) under Harengula jaguana (scaled sardine). Its description in RNAcentral is "partial small subunit ribosomal RNA". The record is from RNAcentral. Lineage: Eukaryota; Metazoa; Chordata; Actinopteri; Clupeiformes; Clupeidae.
GUGCCAGCCACCGCGGUUAUACGAAAGACCCAAGUUGAUAGACUCGGCGUAAAGAGUGGUUAUGGGUUAAAUUUAAACUAGAGCUAAAGACCAUCCAAGCCGUUAUACGCAUACGAUGGUUCGAACCACUUCGACGAAAGUAGCUUUACCCUCUCCAACCAGAAUCCACGACAGCUGGGAAACAAACUGGGAUUAGAUACCCCACUAUG